UCCGGUGGUUCCGCAUGGAAGGGCCAUCGCUCAACGGAUAAAAGCUACCCCGGGGAUAACAGGCUUAUCUCCCCCAAGAGUUCACAUCGACGGGGAGGUUUGGCACCUCGAUGUCGGCUCAUCGCAUCCUGGGGCUGUAGUCGGUCCCAAGGGUUGGGCUGUUCGCCCAUUAAAGCGGUACGCGAGCUGGGUUCAGAACGUCGUGAGACAGUUCGGUCCCUAUCCGUCGUGGGCGUAGGAAAUUUGAGAGGAGCUGUCCUUAGUACGAGAGGACCGGGAUGGACAUACCUCUGGUGUACCAGUUGUCGUGCCAACGGCAUAGCUGGGUAGCUAUGUGUGGACGGGAUAAGUGCUGAAAGCAUCUAAGCAUGAAGCCCCCCUCAAGAUGAGAUUUCCCAACUUCGGUUAUAAGAUCCCUCAAAGAUGAUGAGGUUAAUAGGUUCGAGGUGGAAGCAUGGUGACAUGUGGAGCUGACGAAUACUAA
Molecule: ribosomal RNA, 484 nt
Filed under: Staphylococcus aureus
Lineage: Bacteria; Bacillati; Bacillota; Bacilli; Caryophanales; Staphylococcaceae
Description: partial 23S ribosomal RNA
Rfam family: Bacterial large subunit ribosomal RNA
Source: RNAcentral